This 464-nucleotide ribosomal RNA is filed under the name uncultured bacterium. RNAcentral describes it as "partial 16S ribosomal RNA". It matches the Rfam family "Bacterial small subunit ribosomal RNA", at positions 29 to 507 of the family's 1533-position model. The record is from RNAcentral.
ACGAACGCUGGCGGCGUGCUUCACCCCUGCCAGUCGAACGGAAAGGCCCCUUUGGGGGUACUCGAGUGGCGAACGGGUGAGUAACACGUGAGUAACCUGCCCUUGACUUCGGGAUAACUUCAGGAAACUGGGGCUAAUACCGGAUAGGAAUCCUUGCUGCAUGGUGGGGGUUGGAAAGCUUCGGCGGUUUUGGAUGGACUCGCGGCUUAUCAGCUUGUUGGUGGGGUAGUGGCUUACCAAGGCUUUGACGGGUAGCCGGCCUGAGAGGGCGACCGGCCACAUUGGGACUGAGAUACGGCCCAGACUCCUACGGGAGGCAGCAGUGGGGAAUAUUGCACAAUGGGCGGAAGCCUGAUGCAGCAACGCCGCGUGCGGGAUGACGGCCUUCGGGUUGGAAACCGCUUUCAGCAGGGGCGAAGCUUGUGGUGACGGUACCUGCAGAAGAAGCACCGGCUAACUACGUG